Paramormyrops kingsleyae is the source of this 779-nucleotide long non-coding RNA. RefSeq lists it as uncharacterized. Lineage: Eukaryota; Metazoa; Chordata; Actinopteri; Osteoglossiformes; Mormyridae. The record is from RefSeq and is a predicted model, not a curated record.
GAAACCCAAGGAGCGAAAUGGCUUGCAUUGCUCAAGAAACCGAACUCUGAAUCAUUAAAAAAUUGCAGUGAUGAAUGAAAUCACGAAAUGGAAGAAAUGACUCCACGCACAAAUAUAGUACAAUGCAAUACCGUCCUAAUGAAACAACUACGAUAGUGUCCCUGCGUGCCGUAUAAGGAAAUAACCAGUCAACGAAUUGGUUCAGAGAGGUGGGAGUGAUAUUGGAGUCCAUCGUUUGGACAGCUGUAUCACAAGAGCUAAACAUCUGUGUUCUCUCGUCAAAUUGUUAUCGGGCUAAAGAUUGUGGACCUGGGCCACUGGCACAUGCGCCAACAGAAGCCCGCUGAUGUGCAGAGCCGACAGGCUCCCAGCAUGCUCCUGUGAAUGCCAGCAGAUUGGAGACAGUUGAUGGCUCACAGAGGUGCCGCUUCCCUGGCGGAUGCUGUCAGACUCCUGGGAAGAAGGCAGCGGUGGGGGGAGGGGGGUUCAGAGUUUUGGGAGGAAAUGGACAAAGGCUUAUCUGUGUCUAUGCCUGAGGGAAACUGGUUACCAGCUUAGCAGGGAACUGGAGGGCUUAAUUGUCCAUAACUCACCCUGUACCCUUAUAUCAGAGAAAAAAGGAACAUAUCACUGGUGGUGACCUCGCUUCAGCAUCUAAGGGUUGUGGACAUGCAUCUCCAGUCAGGCCUGUGUUCUUGGUGGGGAAUCAAACCCACAACCAUGGAGGUGGGCCAUUGUGUUUUCUUGCAAUUAAAACAACAAUAAAAGGAGUAAGAUAC